GUAGCGGCGAGCGAAGCGGGAACAGACCAAGAUGAAAAUCUCCAUAGGAGAAUUGUAGUCUGGUUUACCUUGAGUGUUCAGUGAAUGUAAGUCGCAUGGAAUUGCGUACCGUGGAGGGUGAGAGUCCCGUCCAGCAUUCACAGGAAUUUCUCGUACGAGGUAAAUUCAACCGAGUCGGGUAGCUUGAGAUCGCUGCUCUAAAAGGUGGUAAACUUCAUCUAAGUCUAAAUACUGGUGGGAGACCGAUAGCGAACAAGUACCGUGAGGGAAAGAUGGAAAGCACUUUGAAAAGAGGGUGAAAAGCACCUGAAACCGUCAUGGGGGAAGCGGAUUGCAUCAGUGUUGGUCAGUUGCCUGUUCAGAUACUUUCGGGUAUUGUACUCAGCGCUGGCUGUGUCGGCAUGGCUGCUGAACCUUGGAAUUUGCAGGGUUUGGUGGUGAGGGCUCCCUUCGGGUGAGGAUGUCGACAAAAGGAUGCGAACCGACCCGUCUUGAAACACGGACCAAGGAGUCUAGCACUACUGCGAGUCGAAGGGUGAGCAAACCCAGAGGCGCAGUGAAAGCAAACAUUUGGAAAUCGUACAGAUUAGGGAGGUGUUGCGACGUUGUCAAAGCAUCCUACCCAGAGCAAUAGUGCUGGGACCCGAAAGAUGGUGAACUAUGCCGGAGCAGGGCGAAGCCAGAGGAAACUCUGGUGGAGGCUCGAAGCGAUGCUGACGUGCAAAUCGCUCGUCGGACUUGGGUAUAGGGGCGAAAGACUAAUCGAACCAUCUAGUAGCUGGUUCCCUCCGAAGUUUCUCUCAGGAUAGCGGGCAGACUGUUAUUGUUUUGUGUGGUAAAGCGAAUGAUUAGCGUAUUUGGGGGAGCAAUUCCUUCGGUCGAUUCUCAAACUUUAAAUACGCAAGAAAGGGUUGGUUGCUUGAGUGAACCACUCUCUAUUGAAAAUGUCUGCCCUGUGGGCCACUUUUGGUAAGCAGAACUGGCGAUAUGGGAUGAACCAUAAGUUUGGUUAAGGCGUCAAAUUGCCCGCUUAGAGAUCCCACAAAAGGUGUUGGUUCAUCCAGACAGCAGGACGGUGGCCAUGGAAGUCGGAAUCNGCUAAGGAGUGUGUACANUCACCUNCCGANGACUAGCCUGAAAUGGAUGACGCUUAAGCGGGCAGCCGACACCAGACCGUUUUCGUAAGAAACGGCGAAAAUGAGUAGGAGGGCGUGGCGGUUUUGUUGGGAAGGCUGAGACGCAAGUCUGGUUGGAACAGCCGCUAGUGCAGAUCUUGGUGGUAGUAGCAAAUAUUCAAGCGAGAUCCUUGAAGGGCGAAGCGAGGAAGGGUUCCACGCGAACAUUGAUUGGGCGUGGGUGAGUCGUUCCUAAGCCGGGUGGUAAUCGUUCUAACGAUCGGCGAAAGGGAAGCGGGUUAAAAUUCCUGCACACGGAUGUGGAAGCGGUGACGCAAAUUGACAUGGAGACGUUGGCGGUGGCGCUAGGCAGAGUUUUCUUUUCUGUUUGACCUGUGAGUGCGUACUGUGGAAUCCGAUUAUCGGGAGAAACAGGCGCCGAUGGGCAGAGCGUCGGGGCAUCCCCGGCGUCUAGCACGCCACCGACAGCCCUUGAAAAUCUAUGUGCAAUAUAAUUUCACGCCGUGGCGUACCGAUAACCGCAUCAGGUCCUCAAGGUGAACAGCCUCUGCUCAAUAUGAACAAUGCAGGUAAGGGAAGUCGGCAAAAUAGACCCGUAACUUUGGGAAAAGGGUUGGCUCUAGUGGAGUGGAGGAUUUCAAGGGAUGUCAUAGCUUUGGCGCUUAGCUGGACUUUGCGGGCUAAGGUGGGCAACCAUUCUUGGCCUGCUCGGAUCGGCUUCGCGUCUGGAGUUGUGGGNUCCGCCUNCAGCAUACUCCAAACUAGAACUGCAACGGGCAAAGGGAAUCNNNNNNNNNNNNNNNNNNNNNNNNNNNNNNNNNNNNNNNNNNNNNNNNNNNNNNNNNNNNNNNNNNNNNNNNNNNNNNNNNNNNNNNNNNNNNNNNNNNNNNNNNNNCGGGUNAACAGCGGGANUNANUAUGACUCUCUUAAGGUAGCCAAAUGCCUCGUCAUCUAAUUAGUGACGCGCAUGAAUGGAUUAACGAGAUUCCUACUGUCCCUAUCUGCUUCUAGCGAAACCNCAGCCGAGGGAACGGGCUCGGCGAAAUCGGCGGGGAAANAANACCCUGUUGAGCUUGACUCUAUUCUAAUUUUGUGACGCAAGUUAGGAGGUGUAGCAUAGGUGGGAGCUUUCGGGCGACAAUGAAAUACCACUACUCUUAAUCUUGUUUUACUUACGGCGUCAGACUGCACGACCAAUCUGGUCUAUUUUGGCAUCAACUUGGAAACCCCUUCUCUGGGGUCUGAGGAGCAGCGCGCCAGACACAUUUAGGAGGGGAGUUUGGCUGGGGCGGCACAUCUUCUACAAGACAACGAAGGUGUCCAAAGAUGAGCUCAGUGAGAACAGAAAUCUCACGUAGCGCAAAAGGGUAAAAGCUUGUUUGAUUUUGAUUUUCAGUGUGAGUUAAAAACACGAAAGUGUGGCCUAUC
This 2564-nucleotide ribosomal RNA is filed under the name Spongites sp. Its description in RNAcentral is "partial large subunit ribosomal RNA". It matches the Rfam family "Eukaryotic large subunit ribosomal RNA", at positions 83 to 2769 of the family's 3401-position model. Lineage: Eukaryota; Rhodophyta; Florideophyceae; Corallinales; Spongitidaceae. The record is from RNAcentral.